UCAUCCACAAUGGACGAAAGUCUGAUGGUGCAACGUCGCGUGAGCGACGAAGGUCUUCGGAUCGUAAAACUCUGUUGUAAGGGAAGAACACGUACAGUAGUAACUGGCUGUACCUUGACGGUACCUUAUUAGAAAGCCACGGCUAACUACGUGCCAGCAGCCGCGGUAAUACGUAGGUGGCAAGCGUUGUCCGGAAUUAUUGGGCGUAAAGCGCGGGCAGGCGGUCCUUUAAGGCUGAUGUGAAAGCCCACGGCUCAACCGGGGAGGGUGAUUGGAAACGGGGGGACUUGAGUGCAGAAGAGGAAAGGGGAAUUCCAAGUGUAGCGGUGAAAUGCGUAGAGAUUUGGAGGAACACCAGAGGCGAAGGCGACUUUCUGGUCUGUAACUGACGCUGAGGCGCGAAAGCGUGGGGAGCAAACA
This 420-nucleotide ribosomal RNA is filed under the name uncultured bacterium. RNAcentral describes it as "partial 16S ribosomal RNA". It matches the Rfam family "Bacterial small subunit ribosomal RNA", at positions 362 to 774 of the family's 1533-position model. The record is from RNAcentral.